AUGGGCGCCGAGCCGGACCAGCCCCCCUCCCCGCCCCCGCCGGAGCGGACCGCGUCGCCGGAGCGCGACGCCCUCCGCAGCGACGACCGGGACUGGAAGGCGGAGAUGAUGUCGGCGCUGGGGGAGUCGGUCUCCUUCGGCCGGUUCCUCGCCGAGCCGCUCGAGUGGGGCCGGUGGUCGGCGUUCGAGCACAACCGCUACCUCGAGGAGGCCGCGGGGCAGUCCCGCCCCGGAUCCGUCGCGCAGAAGAAGGCCUUCUUCGAGGAGCACUACGCCAGGAAGCGGAAGAGCGCCGAUGUCGAGGACGAGGAGGGCGACGAGGGGCGCGAUGCUGAUGCGGACGGUGCGUACGGCGAGGCCUGGUCGGCGGGCUCCUCGUGCAUGACGGACGAGCCCGCGGGGGAGGAGACCGGCGGCGUAGAUUCGGGUGCUCCGGAUGAUUGCGGCGCCGUCGCCGAUGCCGCUGCGCCGCCGGUGGAAGCGCCUCAGGAGCUGGAGGCCGUUGCGGACGGCGCUGCUCCAUCUUGCCGCUUGGAUAGCACGGACGAGCAGCGUGGUGUGCAGGUUGCUGAAGCGAGAAAGGGGCUGCAGUUGGAUACUGAAUGUGCCCUGGCUGCUGUUGAUGCCGUUGAGAAGCAACCGUUGCAGGAGAGUUCGAUUGUCAACCAGGGUGUGGCAGAUUCUGUGGAGAAGAAGAGGCAUCCAAUGUCGUCGCUAUUUCAGAAGCCUGCAGAAUUCAGUUCUCCCCCAUCAGGAAAGAAAGUGCCGUCUUCAUCAGCCAAAAGGCGGUCCAUGCUUCGUCCUGCAAAGGAAAACAGCUCACCAUUUCCUGCUACUGACAGUAACAAGCAAGAAGAGACUUCAGUUGCUCAGAAAGGGUCGAUACUGGGUACACUGAACUUCAGGAGAUGUGAAAUAGGCGAUCCUGCCUCCAGAUCAAGAAAUCUUGGCUCCAGGAUUGCUUCAAGGAUUAGUCAGCUAGAGUCUGCAAGUAGGCUGGUGAAAGAUAUUCAUCCUAAGGUGAACAAACAGAGGCGGACAAGCAAGGGGUUCUGCAAAGACAUUCCAGAAACAGCUUCCAUAACAACUCAGCAGCAUGAACAAAGGUCUCCAUAUGUCAGUGUGACAAGGGUCAAAGAAAAGUUUUUUGGUUCAACUGCGCCACCGAUGCAUCUGGAAACAAAUAUAGAUAAAGAAAAUAUGGGAAAAGCGAACGAUGAAGCUGGAUUGAAAGAAAUGCAUCAAAGCGUUCGUUUCAAGGCCAGGUCACUGCCAAAUUUUUAUUGGAGAAGUAAAGAAUCAAAGGAUUCAAGGCAGGGGGCACGAGAGACCCACCAAAAUCCGCCGAACAGCGAUCAUAGACUGAAUGAUGAUGCCAGUGACCCACACGGAAUGAGCAGAGGAGCCUCGAAGGACAAACAAAUAUGUUGCUUCCCACUUAUAAGGCGGUAG
RNAcentral lists this ribosomal RNA (1452 nucleotides) under Triticum aestivum (bread wheat). Its description in RNAcentral is "partial small subunit ribosomal RNA". The record is from RNAcentral. Lineage: Eukaryota; Viridiplantae; Streptophyta; Magnoliopsida; Poales; Poaceae.